Molecule: ribosomal RNA, 460 nt
Filed under: uncultured bacterium
Lineage: Bacteria
Description: partial 16S ribosomal RNA
Rfam family: Bacterial small subunit ribosomal RNA
Source: RNAcentral
CCUACGUGUGGCAGCAGUGAGGACUAUUGGUCAAUGGGCGCGAGCCUGAACCAGCCAAGUAGCGUGAAGGAUGACUGCCCUACGGGUUGUACACUUCUUUUAUAAAGGAAUAAAGUGAGGCACGUGUGCCUUUUUGUAUGUACUUUAUGAAUAAGGAUCGGCUAACUACGUGCAAGCAGCCUCGGUAAUACGGAGGAUCCGAGCGUUAUCCGGAUUUAUUGGGUUUAAAGGGAGCGUAGAUGGGUUGUUAAGUCAGUUGUGAAAGUUUGCGGCUCAACCGUAAAAUUGCAAUUGAUACUGGCAGUCUUGAGUACAGUUGAGGUAGGCGGAAUUCGUGGUGUAGCGGUGAAAUGCGUAGAUAUCACGAAGAACUCCGAUUGUGAAGGCAGCUUACUAAACUGCCACUGACAUUGAUGCUCGAAAGUGUGGGUAUCAAACAGGAUUAGAUACCCCUGUAGUC